This 58-nucleotide transfer RNA is filed under the name Salmo salar (Atlantic salmon). It matches the Rfam family "tRNA", at positions 8 to 63 of the family's 71-position model. Rfam says of the family: Transfer RNA (tRNA) molecules are approximately 80 nucleotides in length. Their secondary structure includes four short double-helical elements and three loops (D, anti-codon, and T loops). The record is from Rfam by way of RNAcentral. Lineage: Eukaryota; Metazoa; Chordata; Actinopteri; Salmoniformes; Salmonidae.
UGGCUAAGUUGGUAGAACAUGGCACUUGUAAUGCUAGGGUUGUGGGUUUGAUUCCCAU